This is an RNA transcript of Balaenoptera musculus (blue whale), 2531 nucleotides long. It is a transcript of the gene named VPS9 domain containing 1, with no coding region annotated. The record is from RefSeq and is a predicted model, not a curated record. Lineage: Eukaryota; Metazoa; Chordata; Mammalia; Artiodactyla; Balaenopteridae. The transcript has 15 exons.
UGGCCGCACGCCGGUACCGCCUUUUCCGGCGGUCCGGGGCUCGGGCGGCACCCGCGCCCGCGCACGCCGCGUUCCGGUAUCCGGGCCAACCGCCCCGCCCCUCGGCCGCCACCGCCUCCCCCGCCGGCGCCAUGGCCGCUGCGGUCGGGGACGGCGCGGUGAAACCGCUUCAGUGCGCCAUGAAGCUGGCCAACGGGGCCAUCGAGCUGGACACCGGCAACCGGCCCCGGGAGGCAUAUACAGAAUACCUGAGGAGCGUCCACUACAUCUCCCAGGUGCUGCUAGAAGAAGUGGAGACCUCCAAAGAAGCUGGGGAAACUGUGACCCCUGACACCUCGAAGAUGCUGAAGCUGGCUGAGCAGUGCCUGGAGAGGGCCCAGUCGACAGCUGCCAAACUUGGGAAAACAUGCCUGAGGCCAGCCAUGCCUGUGGCUGCUCCCGUCCCCUCUCCCACCAGCCGACACCGCCGGGUAUACUCAGAUGAGGGAGGGAAGCUCUCUCCAUUUCUGCCGCCUGAGAUCUUCCAGAAGCUUCAGGUUGUAGAGUCACAAAGCUCUAAGAAGCAGGGUCAGGAAGGGACCUCAGGUGACCAGAGCGUUCCUGGGCUUCCUGGAGCCUGGACAGCAGCUUGUCACCAUUCCAGGGAGUUGACACCCCUGGAGGAGGCGUCCCUGCAGAAUCAGAAGCUGAAGGCUGCCUAUGAGGCCCGGAUGGCCCGUCUGGACCCCAGCCAGGCCAUGCAGAAGACAUCCCUGACCCUGUCCCUGCAGCGGCAGAUGAUGGAGAACCUGGUGAUCGCUAAAGCCCGGGAGAAGACACUGCAAAGGAAGAUGGAGGAGCGCCGGCUGCGGCUCCAGGAGGCCGCCAACAGGAGGUUCUGCAGCCAGGUUGCCCUGACCCCCGAGGACCGGGAGCAGCGGGCCCUCUACGCCGCCAUCCUCGAGUACGAGCAAGACCACGACUGGCCAAAGCGCUGGAAGGCCAAGCUCAAGAGGAGCCCAGGGGACCUGUCCCUGGUGACCAGCCUGGUUUCCCACCUGCUCAGCGUCCCCGACCACCCCAUCUCGCAGCUCCUGAAGAAGCUCCAGUGCGCGGUGUACCGGGCGCUGUACCCCAUCGUGAGCAGGGGCGCCGCCUCGGCCCUGGGCUGCCGUUCCCUGCCUCCCGACGCCGACGGGCUGCUGGCUCCUGGAAGCCGGCGGCUCCGGCCCUCUCAGAGCCUGUACUGCAUGCCCUCCCCCCCGGAGCCCAGCCCAGCCCCAAGUACCACAGACGGCACCUCCGCCAGCGCCUCCAUCCCCCCACCCCACCCCGGCAACCCGGACAGAGGGGCAGACGGCAGCCCCGCGGGGCCUCCCUCACCCCUGGCGGACACUUCAUCCGACCUGCCAGGCAAGGACAGCUCCUUCGGGGACCUGGAACAGUUCUUGGCUACUCCUGAGAGGAGGGGCCGGGGCCCUGGGGGGCGGCCUGAGCCCCAGCCCCCAGGGGUAACGAAGGAGCCGUUGCUGGAGCAGCUGAAGGGCACCGUGCAGGACAUACACGACGCCAUCGACAGGCUGCUCUCGCUGACCCUCCUGGCUUUUGAAGGCCUGAACACGGCCGCCUCCAAAGACCGCUGCCUGGCCUGCAUCGAGGAGCCCUUCUUCUCCCCGCUGUGGCCCCUGCUGCUGGCCGUGUACAGGAGCGUUCACCGCCUGCGGGAGGCCGCCCUGAGCAGGAGCAUGGAGCUGUACGGGAACGCGCCCCCGGCGGCCGUCGGCGUCCCCACCAAGCUCCUCCCCCGGGACCCCGAGGCCACGGCAGCCGGCGCCUACCCCUACUGUGCCGCCGCCCAGGAGCUAGGGCUGCUGGUCCUGGAGAGCUGCCCCCAGAAGAAGCUGGACUGCAUUGUGCGGGCCCUGCGGGUCAUCUGUGCCUGCGCGGAGGACUACCACCGGGCUCGCGAGGCUGCACCCCAGCCGGGCAUCGCCGCCAUGUGCCUCUUGCGGAGGGUCUGGGGUACCUGGAGUGGCACGUGAGUGACCCUGACCCCAGGAGUGAGCAGACUGCCUGGGACAUGGGCUGUCCUCUCCGUCAUCCCGUCCCCGGGCUCGGGCAAGCUCACGGGAGAGCUUCACUGUGGGGCCUCCCUGGUCCAGCCCUGGGCUCUGCGGCACAGGGUCCCCAUUCAGGAUGGCCGCGGCGCUCCCAGGUGGUCUCUUGUCACGCUGACCCGAGCCCACCCCCAGCCCCCUGAGGCCGGCGGGCAGGAGGGGCACAGGGACAGCAUCCAGCAAGCCCAAGGCUGCUCCAGGGACCAAGCUGGGAGGCUUCAGGGCUGUGGGGAUUGAGCAGCGCCCCCGGUCCCUGGAGCCUCCUGGCCGGCUCUGCGUCUCCCCAACAGUGGCGCCGACGACCUGCUGCCCAUCCUGUCCUUUGUGGCGCUGAGGAGUGGCCUCCCCCAGCUGGUGUCGGAGUGUGCAGCCCUGGAGGAGUUCAUCCACGAGAGGUACCUGAUCGGAGAGGAGGGCUACUGCCUGACGUCACUG